UACCCAUGAGCAGGAUGAAGCGAAAGUAAAAUUUCGUGGAGGUCCGAACCCACGAGCGUUGAAAAGCUCGGGGAUGACUUGUGGGUAGCGGUGAAAUUCCAAUCGAGCCCGGAGAUAGCUGGUUCUCCCCGAAAUAGCUUUAGGGCUAGCCUCAAGGUGAGAGAUACGGAGGUAGAGCACUGAAUGUCCUAGGGGGUAUUGCACCUACCGAAGACUAUCAAACUCCGAAUGCCGUCAUCUUAUACUUGGGAGUCAGACUGUGGGUGAUAAGAUUCAUAGUCGAAAGGGCAACAGCCCAGAUCGUCAGCUAAGGUCCCUAAAUGUAAGUUAAGUGGUAAAGGAUGUGGGAUUGCACAGACAACCAGGAUGUUGGCUUAGAAGCAGCCACUCAUUCAAAGAGUGCGUAAUAGCUCACUGGUCGAGUGAUCCUGCGCCGAAGAUUUCCGGGGCUAAAACUUACUACCGAAGCUACGGCAUCAGUAAUGAUGGGUAGGGGAGCUUCCCAUACGGGUUGAAGCAUGACCGUAAGGACAUGUGGACAGUAUGGGAGUGAGAAUGUUGGCAUGAGUAGCGAGAUGUGGGUGAGAAUCCCACAGGCCGUAAACCCAAGGUUUCCAGGGGAAGGUUCGUCCGCCCUGGGUUAGUCGGGACCUAAGCUGAGGCCGAAAGGCGUAGGUGAUGGACAACAGGUUGAUAUUCCUGUACUACCGAUAACCGUUUGAGAGAAGGGAUGACACAGUAGGAUAAGCUAAGCACACUGUUGGUUAUGUGUGCCCAAGCAUUGAGGCAGUCAAAGUAGGCAAAUCCGCUUUGAUAAUGCUGGGAUGUGAUGGGGAGCGAAAUUUAGUAGCGAAGUAGCUGAUUUCACACUGUCAAGAAAAGUCUCUAUCGAGGUUAAAGGUACCCGUACCGCAAACCGACACAGGUGGGUGAGGAGAGUAUCCUAAGGCCAGCGAGAGAACUGUUGUUAAGGAACUCGGCAAAAUGACCCCGUAACUUAGGGAUAAGGGGUGCCACCAUCAGGUGGCCGCAGAGAAUAGGCCCAAGCGACUGUUUACCAAAAACAUAGGUUUCUGCUAAGUCGCAAGACGAUGUAUAGGAGCUGACGCCUGCCCGGUGCUGGAAGGUUAAGGGGAUCUGUUAGAGCAAUCGAAGCAGUGAACUUAAGCCCCAGUAAACGGCGGCCGUAACUAUAACGGUCCUAAGGUAGCGAAAUUCCUUGUCGGGUAAGUUCCGACCCGCACGAAAGGCGUAACGAUUUGGGCACUGUCUCAACAACAGACUCGGUGAAAUUGUAAUUCCGGUGAAGAUGCCGGAUACCUGCGACAGGACGGAAAGACCCCAUGGAGCUU
Molecule: ribosomal RNA, 1352 nt
Filed under: Clostridioides difficile
Lineage: Bacteria; Bacillati; Bacillota; Clostridia; Peptostreptococcales; Peptostreptococcaceae
Description: partial 23S ribosomal RNA
Rfam family: Bacterial large subunit ribosomal RNA
Source: RNAcentral